CUACGGGACGCUCCAGUAGGGAAUAUUGGACAAUGGGCGAAAGCCUGAUCCAGCAACACCGCGUGCACGAUGACGGCCUUCGGGUUGUAAAGUGCUUUUAGAGGAGAUGAGAAAGGACAGUAUCCUCUGAAUAAGCCUCGGCGAACUACGUGCCAGCAGCCGCGGUGAAACGUAGGAGGCAAGCGUUAUCCGGAUUUAUUGGGCGUAAAGCGCGUGCAGGCGGUCUAGCAAGUUGGAUGUGAAAGCUCCCGGCUCAACUGGGAGAGGUCGUUCAAUACUGUUAGACUAGAGAAUAGGAGAGGGAGGUGGAAUUCCGGGUGUAGUGGUGAUAUGCGUAGAUAUCCGGAGGAACACCAGUGGCGAAAGCGGCCUCCUGGACUAUUUCUGACGCUAAGACGCGAAAGCUAGGGUAGCAAACGGGAUUAGAUACCCGCGUAGUC
RNAcentral lists this ribosomal RNA (440 nucleotides) under uncultured bacterium. RNAcentral's name for it is "partial 16S ribosomal RNA". It matches the Rfam family "Bacterial small subunit ribosomal RNA", at positions 339 to 795 of the family's 1533-position model. The record is from RNAcentral.